RNAcentral lists this ribosomal RNA (2392 nucleotides) under human gut metagenome. Its description in RNAcentral is "bacterial LSU rRNA". It matches the Rfam family "Bacterial large subunit ribosomal RNA", at positions 3 to 2420 of the family's 2925-position model. The record is from RNAcentral.
UUAAGUUAAUAAGGGCGCACGGUGGAUGCCUUGGCACUAGAAGCCGAUGAAGGACGUGACUAACGACGAAAUGCUUUGGGGAGCUGUAAGUGAGCAAUGAUCCAGAGAUGUCCGAAUGGGGGAACCCGGCAGGUAAUGCCUGUCACUCAUUACUGUUAAGGUAAUGUAGAGGAAGACGCAGUGAACUGAAACAUCUAAGUAGCUGCAGGAAGAGAAAGCAAAAGCGAUUGCCUUAGUAGCGGCGAGCGAAACGGCAAGAGGGCAAACCGAAGAGUUUACUCUUCGGGGUUGUAGGACUGCAACGUGGACUUAAAGAUUAUAGAAGAACUACCUGGGAAGGUAGGCCAAAGAGAGUAAUAGCCUCGUAUUCGAAAUAGUCUUUAUACCUAGCAGUAUCCUGAGUACGGCGAGACACGAGAAAUCUCGUCGGAAUCUGGGAGGACCAUCUCCCAACCCUAAAUACUCUCUAGUGACCGAUAGUGAACCAGUACCGUGAGGGAAAGGUGAAAAGCACCCCGGGAGGGGAGUGAAAUAGAACCUGAAACCGUGUGCCUACAACAAGUUCGAGCCCGUUAAUGGGUGAGAGCGUGCCUUUUGUAGAAUGAACCGGCGAGUUACGAUAUGAUGCGAGGUUAAGUUGAAGAGACGGAGCCGUAGGGAAACCGAGUCUGAAUAGGGCGACUUAGUAUCAUGAUGUAGACCCGAAACCUAGUGACCUAUCCAUGAGCAGGGUGAAGGUGUGGUAAGACGCACUGGAGGCCCGAACCAGGACACGUUGAAAAGUGUUUGGAUGACUUGUGGAUAGCGGAGAAAUUCCAAACGAACUUGGAGAUAGCUGGUUCUCUCCGAAAUAGCUUUAGGGCUAGCGUCGAUGUUAAGUCUCUUGGAGGUAGAGCACUGUUUGGGUGAGGGGUCCAUCCCGGAUUACCAAUCUCAGAUAAACUCCGAAUGCCAACGAGAUAUAAUCGGCAGUCAGACUGCGAGUGCUAAGAUCCGUAGUCGAAAGGGAAACAGCCCAGACCACCAGCUAAGGUCCCAAAAUAUAUGUUAAGUGGAAAAGGAUGUGGGGUUGCACAGACAACUAGGAUGUUAGCUUAGAAGCAGCUAUUCAUUCAAAGAGUGCGUAAUAGCUCACUAGUCGAGUGACCCUGCGCCGAAAAUGUACCGGGGCUAAAACAUAUUACCGAAGCUGUGGAUACCUUUAUAGGUAUGGUAGGAGAGCGUUCUAUGUGCGAAGAAGGUGUACCGUGAGGAGUGCUGGAGCGCAUAGAAGUGAGAAUGCCGGUAUGAGUAGCGAAAGACAGGUGAGAAUCCUGUCCACCGUAAGACUAAGGUUUCCAGGGGAAGGCUCGUCCGCCCUGGGUUAGUCGGGACCUAAGGAGAGACCGAAAGGUGUAUCCGAUGGACAACAGGUUGAUAUUCCUGUACUAGAGUAUAUAGUGAUGGAGGGACGCAGUAGGCUAACUAAACCAGACGAUUGGAAGUGUCUGGCCAAGCAGUGAGGUGUGAUAUGAGUCAAAUGCUUAUAUCUAUAACAUUGAGCUGUGAUGGGGAGCGAAGUUUAGUAGCGAAGUUAGUGAUGUCACACUGCCGAGAAAAGCUUCUAGCGUUAAUUAUACUCUACCCGUACCGCAAACCGACACAGGUAGUCGAGGCGAGUAGCCUCAGGUGAGCGAGAGAACUCUCGUUAAGGAACUCGGCAAAAUGGCCCCGUAACUUCGGGAGAAGGGGCGCUGACUUAUGGUCAGCCGCAGUGAAUAGGCCCAAGCAACUGUUUAUCAAAAACACAGCUCUCUGCUAAAUCGUAAGAUGAUGUAUAGGGGGUGACGCCUGCCCGGUGCUGGAAGGUUAAGAGGAGUGCUUAGCAAUAGCGAAGGUAUGAAUUGAAGCCCCAGUAAACGGCGGCCGUAACUAUAACGGUCCUAAGGUAGCGAAAUUCCUUGUCGGGUAAGUUCCGACCCGCACGAAAGGCGUAAUGAUUUGGGCACUGUCUCAACAAUGCACCCGGUGAAAUUGAAAUACCAGUGAAGAUGCUGGUUACCCGCGCCAGGACGGAAAGACCCCAUGGAGCUUUACUCCAGCCUGAUACUGGGAUUCGGUAUUGCAUGUACAGGAUAGGUGGGAGGCUGAGAACUCAUGGCGCCAGCCGUGAGGGAGCCGGUGUUGGGAUACCACCCCUGCAGUACUGGGUUUCUAACCUGCGCCCGUGACCCGGGCGGGGGACAAUGUCAGGCGGGGAGUUUGACUGGGGCGGUCGCCUCCGAAAGGGUAUCGGAGGCGCUCAAAGGUCUCCUCAGGAUGGUUGGAAACCAUCCAGAGAGUGCAAAGGCAGAAGGAGGCUUGACUGCGACACCGACGGGUGGAGCAGGUACGAAAGUAGGACUUAGUGAUC